GAAAGCUGGCGUCUUCGGCGUCCGCAUUGUAAUCUCAAGAAGUGUUUUCCGCUUCGGACCAUGCCUAAGUCCCUUGGAAAAGGGCAUCAUAGAGGGUGAUAAUCCCGUACAUGGCAUGGAGCGCCCGAGGCUUUGUGAUACGCUUUCUAAGAGUCGAGUUGUUUGGGAAUGCAGCUCAAAAUGGGUGGUAAAUGCCAUCUAAGGCUAAAUAUUGGGGAGAGACCGAUAGCGAACAAGUACAGUGAUGGAAAGAUGAAAAGAACUUUGAAAAGAGAGUUAAACAGUACGUGAAAUUGCCAAAAGGGAAGGGUAGGAGGUCAGAGAUGCGUCUUGGGAUUCAGCCUUGCUUUUGCUUGGUGUUUUUCCCAAGUUGCAGGCCAACGUCGGUUUUGGGCACUGGAGAAGGGUGGAAGGAACGUGGCACCUCUCGGGGUGUGUUAUAGCCUUCUACUGGAUACAGCGACCGAGACCGAGGACAGCAGCGUACUCGCAAGAGCGGGCCUUCGGGCACCUUUACGCUUAGGGCGUUGGCAUAAUGGC
Molecule: ribosomal RNA, 540 nt
Filed under: Anthracocystis chrysopogonis
Lineage: Eukaryota; Fungi; Basidiomycota; Ustilaginomycetes; Ustilaginales; Ustilaginaceae
Description: LSU rRNA
Rfam family: Eukaryotic large subunit ribosomal RNA
Source: RNAcentral